AAUAUUAUACGUUUUCAAAAUAACUACAUAAAAUUACUUCUAGGAAUUUAAAAAUGAUUUGUAAUUUUAUUCAUAAGUCAUCCCAAAAUGAGGUCAAAGGAGGAAAAAGAUACAUCUUAAUAAAUGCAGAAAAGUCCAAGUUUAGACCUUGGGGAUAUGACAGUUAACAAAAUAUACCUCUCCUUCAAGGAGCUUACAUUCCAAUGGGAGGAGACAAAAUCAACCAAUAAACAAAUAAUACGUCAGGUGGUAAUAAGUGCUAUGAAGAAGAUUAGAGAAAAGUGAAUGCAAAGUAAUUAGGGGAGUGCUUAUUUGAGAUGGAAUGGUCAGGAAAGACCUUUUGUAAGGAUGGCAUUUGAACAGAGACCUGAGGAGAGCAGAUAAGGAGAUGAAGAUGGGGUGAGGGUGAGCAUUGCAGAUUGAAGGGAAGCUAAGUGCGACAGUCCUGAGGCGGCAGUCUGCUCCCUUAUUCAAUAAGGGAAUCACAUAACAAUUAAAAAUGGCUAUAAAUAAAAACAAGCAACGCUCAAAACAAUGACAAACUGGGGGAAUGUCUGUGUAAUAUGAAAAAUAUUUUCGGAAAUAUUUUAGUAUGGUUUUCCUUUUUUGACCCUCCAUCUGACUUGGAUAAGGGUCAGGGGUAAUUAGGACUGUUAACAGCAGGAAUGCAAGAGAAAGAAAGCAUUUAAUGGUCAGCUUCUGACUGUCAAGGGCCUUUGCCCAGAGAGAAAAGGAGUUUCUAAAUUCCCUAAGCUCUCACGUGACUGCUGACUUGAUCAUAGAGUUCCGCUACACAUAUAAAGCAGAGAGAACUCAGUAAGCAAACCCUGUCACACAGAAAGGAAUGACAGUCCAUCUGUUCUUUUUCUAGUGGAGUUUGAAGAAAAAGAAGAGAGAGGAUAAAGUCAGGUCCCAGUGAUCUCACUUUCCUCCCCUUAGCAUGGAGGUCAAUAAAAAACAUCUAGAAAAUGUGUUAGGGAAAAUGAGGAUCUUGGAGUUAGUGGACUGCUCGCCUGGGUCUAGAGAAGCCCUAUCUAUAGUGGCUCAAUGUGAUGUUUAACACUGGGUGAGAGAUAUAAUGCAGCAUUGGCAAAGGGAGGCGGCGCAGAGAUGGCAUCCCAUGCGUGCGUGUGCCAUGGGGGGGAUCCAGAUGUUCCCCGAUGCCUUCACGAGGAUGGCCCAAGGGCACUGAGUGGAUUGGUAGACCAGCAAGUGUCUGCUUUGAAACGAAGAGGCUGCAGGGGUGGGGACGUCCACCUUCCUUCAUUUCAGGUGGGAGGGUGUGCAGAGGUUAUUUUAAGGUCUUCAUAUUCAGUCCAGUCCCCUCCAGAACAUAGGCAACAGUUUAUUAGUCUCUUUAAGACUCAUGUUUUCAUUUUUCCUGUGGUUUUAUAGAUGUUUUAGUGAGAUAUUGUGUGAGCCUGCCUCAGGGAGUAGUAGCCUCAUUGUUGGCACACCAAAAAAGGGUCUGGGAUGGUUUUAGCCACCCCUAAGCCACCACCAAUAAUCCCCAUCACCCUUUAUCCUUUGAGAUGAACAGCUGACUUUCUCAAACUUAAUGUAAAAUGCUAUGCAAACCCAACUUCAGGCUUCCUUCCAACCCUAUUGCUGCCUCCAAGCCUUCCAUACAUAGAAAUUUUGUAAUCACCAGUGGCUAACCAGAUGCCAUUUUGAACUCUAAACUCUUAAAAUAGGCACUUGAACUUUGAAGUUUUGAUGUUUUCUUUCCUGAGAAUAAGGGCAAUGAAUUCAAUCAGUCAUUUAUUUCUGAUAGGACUUUCUUAUGAUUUUGCUAUGGUGCAAUAAGUAUCUCAAAGAGAAAUGUUGGGACAUAAGACUGAUCAAAUGACCAGGGAAUUUAGCUAGAAGUGUGGGCUAAUUUAAUAAAUGCUUUAACAGCAACUUGGUCAUCUUCUAUUUCUUCUCCUUUUCCUGUCUUCUAUUUCAUCUCAACAGGCAAAUCUGGAUGUUAUAAGCUAAAAAGACUCUCUCUAGCUCUCGCUUCAGCUUUUAACACGCUUUCUCCCACAUCUCAUUAGUGUCCUUUUUGUUUUGCUCAUUGCGCACCUCUCUGACCACGUUCCCUAGUUCCCUCUGAAAUGUUCUUUCUUUCUGCUUAUGGGACUUCAUUUUGUGCCUAUGGCCCAUCUUCAGGCAACUUCCACAGGCCCCAAUACCUGGGAGAAACAGCCCUUCAACACCAGUAUGACUAUGAACUUGUUUCUUGUUAAAAUGCAGAUUCCCGGGCUCCAGACAAACCAGAAACUGUCGGCAAGUCUUGAGAUUCUUCAUUUCACAAGCUUUCCAAGUAAUUAUGAUGCACACUAAAACUCAGGAAGUAAAAAAAUAGGUAAGGCCUUCAGUCCUCUCAAUUCCUGAUCCUUUGGUUCCUUCCUUCCUUUCUCUCUUCCUUUUUUCCUUCUUUGGAACUUACUGGAAUACACUAGGCUCAUUUUUUGCCUUUCUAGUCUUUCUUCCUCCCUUCCACUCUUGCUUCAUCCCUUCUUUCUCAUCUCCCUUUCUUUCUCCCC
RNAcentral lists this long non-coding RNA (2531 nucleotides) under Equus caballus (horse). RNAcentral's name for it is "lncRNA (ENSECAG00000059802.1)". The record is from RNAcentral. Lineage: Eukaryota; Metazoa; Chordata; Mammalia; Perissodactyla; Equidae.